UAUGGCCAUUGAGCCGAAAUGAUAUUUUUGUUAAGUGAAUUGUGCAUAAAAGUUUUGUUGUGAAAAUGAAACAAAGAUGUGUAUGAAUGUUCGAAUGAUAUCCGGGCUAAGCCCGAAGGCAAUUGUGCGAGCUAUGAUAUCCGGGCUAAGCCCGAAGGCAAUUGUGCGAGCUAUGAUACUCGAGCUAAGCCCGAAGGCAAUUGUGCGAGUUGUGAUAUCCGGGUUAAGUCCCGAAGGCAUUUGUGCGGGUUACCAUAACCGGGCUAUGUCCCGAAGGUGUUUUGAACGAGUAGCUAUAUCCGGAUAAACUCCGAAGAUUUUGCUCGUUAGCGAUCGGAUUCGGGAUCAUAGAAGUUGAAGUCAACCACACUAUCAAAGCCCUUUUUGGUACUCCUUUAGUUGAGUUCGGAUAUGGCAUGUAUAGGACUACCCUCGGUUAUUUUUAAGUACUUGUGAUGCAUAUGUGUACGGCCAUGCGAAAAUGGUUCGUAAUAGUGGAGUAUGGAAUUAGACCAUUUGUGGUUUGUAAUUAUAUAUGGUUUCAUGAUGUGAUUAUGGAUUGGAAUGGGAGUGUUGGUCACAUGAUCAGCCAUUGGAAUGGCUAAA
This is a long non-coding RNA of Gossypium arboreum, 606 nucleotides long. RefSeq lists it as uncharacterized. The transcript has 2 exons. The record is from RefSeq and is a predicted model, not a curated record. Lineage: Eukaryota; Viridiplantae; Streptophyta; Magnoliopsida; Malvales; Malvaceae.